This 267-nucleotide long non-coding RNA is filed under the name Salvia miltiorrhiza (redroot sage). Its description in RNAcentral is "long non-coding RNA (SMIL_LNC012915)". Lineage: Eukaryota; Viridiplantae; Streptophyta; Magnoliopsida; Lamiales; Lamiaceae. The record is from RNAcentral.
GCUUACUUUAUGAGGGGGGACCACAUGGUGUAAAGAGGCUGCAUUGGGGUUACAUGAUAGCCUACAUGAUUUUUUUAGUUUUGAUUUUUAUGCUUUUCACUUAAAUUUAAUUGCUCAAAUUUAAAUAACACAUUUUACUAAUAAUUAAAAUUCCAUUAAAAUAAAAAAACCUAAAAAUUACAUUAAAAAAUUAAAAACAUAAUUAAAAUUACAUAAAUUAAAAUCCUAGUCUAAGAAGAAGAAGAAAAAAAAAAGAAGAAAAAGAAG